GAUGAACGCUGGCGGCGUGCCUAAUACAUGCAAGUCGAGCGAACAGACGAGGAGCUUGCUCCUCUGACGUUAGCGGCGGACGGGUGAGUAACACGUGGAUAACCUACCUAUAAGACUGGGAUAACUUCGGGAAACCGGAGCUAAUACCGGAUAAUAUAUUGAACCGCAUGGUUCAAUAGUGAAAGACGGUUUUGCUGUCACUUAUAGAUGGAUCCGCGCCGCAUUAGCUAGUUGGUAAGGUAACGGCUUACCAAGGCGACGAUGCGUAGCCGACCUGAGAGGGGGAUCGGCCACACUGGAACUGAGACACGGUCCAGACUCCUACGGGAGGCAGCAGUAGGGAAUCUUCCGCAAUGGGCGAAAGCUUGACGGAGCAACGCCGCGUGAGUUAUGAAGGUCUUCGGAUCGUAAAACUCUGUUAUUAGGGAAGAACAAAUGUGUAAGUAACUAUGCACGUCUUGACGGUACCUAAUCAGAAAGCCACGGCUAACUACGUG
This 497-nucleotide ribosomal RNA is filed under the name uncultured bacterium. RNAcentral describes it as "partial 16S ribosomal RNA". It matches the Rfam family "Bacterial small subunit ribosomal RNA", at positions 28 to 507 of the family's 1533-position model. The record is from RNAcentral.